UUGGAUAUAGCUCAGUCGGUAGAGCGCAGCUUGAUGCUGUGGCCGCGGGUUCGAUUCCCGUUAUCCCAA
Molecule: non-coding RNA, 69 nt
Organism: Lysobacter capsici AZ78
Lineage: Bacteria; Pseudomonadati; Pseudomonadota; Gammaproteobacteria; Lysobacterales; Lysobacteraceae
Source: Rfam